UUGUGUACAGGAAGUUAUGAUACAAACCUAAAGAUUUGGGCUUUUGGAGGCCAUAGGAAGGUGAUUUGAAUUUCUUUGCAGUUCUCUCUUAUGUAAGGCUCAUUGGUUCCUGCUACCGUCAAUGCCUUGUGCUUCCUUGGUAGAAUUUCAAUGUGUUCUCUGUAAGUUGAUGUGAAGAAGGCAUAAUCGGUACUAUUGCCUCUAGUAAUCUCUAAAUGAGAAAACUGAGUUUUAAAGGAAGAAUGGGGAAAAUGUUGCAGGAAAACGUGAAUAGUUGGGCUUGCCCUGGCUGGAGGUCUAUCGGCCUAUUGUUUUUCCUCCCUUUGUAUUCUUUGCCCAUUUAUUGUAACGGGAAAACUGGGUUCUCGAGGACUACUUGUUAUUUCUUCAGUAAAAUCGAUUAAAUAGUGCCCAAGACCACUGUACUUAAUCCUGUGAGAAGAGAACC
RNAcentral lists this unclassified non-coding RNA (448 nucleotides) under Hevea brasiliensis (rubber tree). The record is from RNAcentral. Lineage: Eukaryota; Viridiplantae; Streptophyta; Magnoliopsida; Malpighiales; Euphorbiaceae.